Molecule: transfer RNA, 68 nt
Filed under: Kingdonella sp.
Lineage: Eukaryota; Metazoa; Arthropoda; Insecta; Orthoptera; Acrididae
Description: tRNA-Tyr
Source: RNAcentral
CGGUAAGAUGACUGAAUUAAUAGGUGAUAGACUGUAAAUCUAUUUAUGAGAAUUUUUCUCUCUUACCA